This 10975-nucleotide long non-coding RNA is filed under the name Olea europaea subsp. europaea. Lineage: Eukaryota; Viridiplantae; Streptophyta; Magnoliopsida; Lamiales; Oleaceae. The record is from RNAcentral.
AAAAAUAAUAAUAAUAAAAUAAAAUAAAUAGACUUUCAAUUCGCACCAACAUUACCUUCAUAUCCGAUUAACAUUAUUCUAACCUCAUACCAAAUGUGUUCUUUUACAAAUUCUCUUUUUUCAUUAUCUAUCAUCAAAAAAUGAUUAUAUAAAUCACUGUCUACAGCGGGCAUAUUUCCAAAUAUAUUUUGCAAAUAGCUGAUUAGGUUACUGGUAACAACUUAACUUCUGUGUUACUUUGGAUCGUAUAAAAUCUAUUGUUCAACGGAACUUAGUUGUCUCAAUUUUGGGCAUCAAUCAAGUCCUUUCAAACAAAGUUGUAGAUACAGUCAUAAUAUCUCGUCGCAAAAAGAUCAAUAUAUAGCAUAUGAAUAGAGGACUUGCAAGCAACAAUAUAUUUUUCUGUUAAAAUUGACUUCACCAGAGGAAAAGUAGAACAACUCAUGUCACUAACCCCACAGCUCUUCAUUUCACGACCUGAUCUUAAAUGCUACAAGCUAUAGAUAAAGAUAUUUGACUUUUCUUCUUUACCAAAUACCACAGUUACAUAGUAACAAUACCAUAAGAAUUAAGGACUUGCAAGAAACAAUAUAUUUUUUCCAUUAAAAUUGACUUCACCAAAGGAAAAGUAUAACACCUCAAUUAACUUCUGUGUUACUUUGAAUCAAUUAAAACCUACUGUUUAAGAAAAACUUAGUUAUCUCAAUUUUGAGCAUCAACCAAGUCCUUUCAGACAAAACUGUAGACACAGGCAUCAUCAACUCCUUUAGAUAAAAUUGUAGACCACUAAUAACCGUGGGAUGGUUAGACAAUAAUAUUUAUAACUCAAUGAAACAAUAAUAUUUUCUGUACAAAUGUUUAAGUCAAAAUUAUUUGAUCAACAUAGUUUCCACUCGAACAUAUUGUGCAAAGGACAACAGCCCUGCGUAAGUGUAGCAAUUUUGGGAAUUCCAACAACUUGUUUAACCGUUACAAUUUGUACCCUUGCAAGAAUAUCUUGGUCCGAGCAUUUGCUCAUAAAUUCAUAAAUUCAAUUAAGUAUUACAAAUAUUUAAAAAUGAAAAAUUCAUAAAUUGUACAAUACUCGGAGGACAUGACAACAGCCAGAUGCUCGCUAACAAGAUCAUUCUAAAAGGAUAUGACCGAUCAAGAUUGUAGAGUAAAAUUUUCGAAGAUUACAAUUUACAUGUUUUGAAUAUUUGUAAGGGGUUCAAAAUCAGUUAAUCAUUUGAAUCUCUAUGAAAUACAAAAAUAAAGAAAUUACAAAUAUGCAAUUAUAAUUACUUUACAGAUCAUAAUAUAUCUCGUCACAAAAAAAAAGCAAUAUAUAACAUCCUGUAUAUGAUAUUUUGUGGAACUGCAAAUUCUAAAAUUUGAAAAAUUUUCGUCAUUACUUAGUUAAUUGUGGUUCUAUGCAAUAAGAUUGCAUAUUCUACAACAAACAGCAGCUGAGAACUCUUCAAAUUAAUUAUAUGCAAUGGUAUUGCAUAUUCUCACUAAAGCGUGUUCCGUUAUUCUUGCACAUUCUAAUAAAUUUAAAGAUCUUGAUUUAUUUUGACCUUGUUCGAUUCUUAUUUUUUCCAAAAUACAUUUUUCUCUACUUUUUUUCAACCGCACAUUUUAAAUAAAAAAUAUUACAUGCAAAUUCAAAUAUUUUCCUUAUUUUUUAACCACACAUUCUUCAUCAAUCUAUUAUUUGAAAGUGCAUUUUUUUUUUCUAUUUUUUGGGGCUCAUACAAGUCCUUUAUAUUAUCUAGAAAUAAACUGUCAAUUACACAAAUAAUCCCAUUGCUUCUGAACAUUCUCCAGAUCAAUUACCAUGCAGCUUAAAUACUACAAAGCUAUAAAGAAAGAAUAAAUGACCCCUAGAAAUACUGAAAAGGCGUUUGAGAAAAUUGAGGAAGAAACAGAAGAUACAAAAGAGUGAUAUAAAUAAGAACAACAAUCUUGACCAACAAAAUUAAGAAACAAAAUGCAAAAUGAUAGUAAAGGAAAAUGAUAUACCACCAGGAAAUUAACAGUGCUCUAAGAUCCAAGAAGCAAAAGAUACUAAAUAUAAAUAAGACCAACAAUCUGGACCAACAAAAUUAAGAAUCAAAAUGCAAAAUGACAGUAAAGAAAAAAAUAUACCAGCAGGAAAUUAACAGUGCUCUAGGAUCCAAUAAUAGUGAGAAUAGGAUUCCUUUUCAAUAUCAUAAAUGACCCCUAGAAAUACUGAAAAGGCAUUUGAGAAAAUUGAGGAAGAAACAGAAGAUACAAAAGAGUGAAAUAAAUAAGAACAACAAUCUUGACCAACAAAAUUAAGAAACAAAAUGCAAAAUGAUAGUAAAGGAAAAAGAUAUACCACCAGGAAAUUAACAGUGCUCUAAAAUCUAAGAAGCAAAAGAUACUAAAUAUAAGUAAGACCAACAAUCUGGACCAACAAAAUUAAGAAUCAAAAUGCAAAAUGACAGUAAAGAAAAAGAUAUUCCAGAAGGAAAUUAACAGUGCUCUAAGAUCCAAUAAUAGUGAGAAUAGGAUACCUUUUCAAUAUCUUCUUUACUAAAUACCAAUAAAGCUAAGAAACAAAAUGCAAAAACGAUAGUAAAGAAACAGAUAUACCAGCAGCAAAUUAACAGUGCUCUAAGAUCCAAUAAUAGUAAGGAUAGAAUUCCUUUUCAAUAUCUUCUUUACCAAUACAACAGUUACAUAGUAAAAAUACCAUCUGAACUGAGGACUUGCAAGAAACAAUAUAUUUUUUCCCGUUAAAAUUGACUUCACCAGAGGAAAAGUAGAACAUCUCAUGUCAAUAACCCCAAAACUUUUCAUUUCACGACCUGAGCUUAAAAGCUGCAAGCUAUAGAUAAAGAUUAAAUGACUUCUUUACAAAAUACCACAGUUACACAGUAACAAUACCAUCAGAAUUGAGGAAUUGCAAGAAACAGCAUAUUUUUUCCUUUAACAUUGACUUUACCAGAGGAAAAGUAUCACACCUCAUCUCACUAACCCCACAACUUUUCAUUUCACGACCUAAGCUAAAAAGCUGCAAGCUAUAGAUAAAGAUUAAACGACUUUUGUAAUAGAGUACAUGAAUUUAAGAAAAGAAGGGCACGAAACUAAUAAUACAGGAUAAAAUGAAAGAAAACAAAAUAAACAAACAUGGACAUAAGGAAAGAUGAAACGGGUGAAACAAAAAUAAAAAUAACAUUCUAAAAUCACGAACAAAUUGAGCCUAUAAGAGCAGAACAGACAUUAUUAAAACACAGCAUUCUCUUAGAAGAUACAUACAAGGAUUUUCCAGGGUCUUUUCCAUAUCAUGAAUUCUCCUCUCCUUUAAUAAAAAAGUAUUGAUCCUCGUGAAAAAAAAAAAUAAUAAUAAUAAUAAAUAAAUAAAUAAAUAAAACUUACAUUUUUUGGGAUUUCCCAUUUGGUUGAGUAGCAACACCAUCAUACAUCUUCAAAAUCUGGAGUGAGGAGAUGCUUAAAAACAAGACGUAUGUGCAACAAAAACAAACUCAAAAAAUGCAAAACUACAUGAAAUGAGAAAUCUAUAGAUUGAAUGUGCCAUCAGUAAUUGCUUCGAGUAACUUUGUAAAUAGAAAGAAGAACGUAUAAAACAAAGGGAAAUAGAGAAUGGAAAGGCUACAAAAAGACGACUAAAAAAAAAAUUAAGUUAUAAGGGGAAAAAUGCACAGAAGAAACAGGGUAUCUUAGACAAACCAAUAAGGAAAAAAACAAAUUUUGAUUUUCUGCCACUUACACUGCUACUUCUGAAUCAAGAGGAUUUGGUGAAUAAUUUCCCACUUCACAUUCCAAUGAUGAAGAAACUACUAAAGUAAAGGUCAAUGUCAAUUAAGUUGGUUGGAUCAGGCUACUACGAACUUUCCAGGCAACAUCCUUUACUCCUAAAAAUUUACCACCAGAAACAAAUAAGUAAAUUGUAAUCAUGUAAGUUGUUUAUGAUACUGUACUACAAGUCUAAAUCUAUUUUUUACAGAUAACCCAUUAAGCAAACCUAAACAAUUCUACAUUGCCUUGCAAGUUGAUGUAGAAGAAUUGAAGGAGAACUUAAUUAUCUCAACUUCCGAUCAUGCCAAAUGUUUGAAUCCUUGAUGGCCAUCUUUGUAAUGAAGUCACCUUGUAAAAAUUAUGAAUCAUAUGUCUGAUUGAAUAAGUAGACAUAAAAAGGAAUAAAACAAUAUAAUAUGAGGAAAGGGGAAAAAAAAAUCCAGAGUUCCUAUAAGUUAGUGUUAUCUUUAGAAAAAGGGGGGGGGGGGGGGGGGGGGAUUCUGUUUUCCCUUAAGAGGUCAAAAAGGUCAAAAGAUUAUUAUUAGAUUGGUUAUACUUGAUAGCGUUGAGUAUGUAGUUUGAUGAACGUGCGAACAUUCUAAACGUGGCACCCGUUAGUCAGGGACAUAAUCUGGGUAGACUUGAGAAGAUUCAUAUCCACAGACAAAGCAAGGGCAAACCAUAACUAGGGUGGUUUAUUGAGCUGCAACAGUUCUUGGCUUUAAAUCUUCAAGUAGAUCUGCAAGAUUUAUUAUUGAUGUUGUUCAUGACAAAAAAUACUAAAUCUUUUAACCAAAUCACUAACGAAAAUACAACUAAUAAUAAACCAUAGCAAACCAAUAUCAAUGUCAGCUUGAAAGCUGCCUCACACAUUGCCACCUACAAACAAGAACGAUGAUCCAGAGAUUAUAAACCUGCAUUAAAUUUCCUAGUGCCUUUCAAGUUAAAUUCUAUGAUCAGUUUGAAAUAUCAACAGACAAAAGUUAUAUCUCAGGAUGAAGUCAAGAUCCUUUCCUAUCAAAGACUGAAGCCGCAUUAAAUUGGAAUGAUUGAACUUACAUCAAGAAGCAAACACCGCAGUCUAACACCAAACAUUCAGCAUUUUAAAAUAUUUACAAAUUUAGAAUUACCAAAUCUAACCCGAGGGGUAGCUCAGUUCUCCAAUGGUCACCAAUUCGAGUCAGGGUCAUUGAGGUGAGUACCGGCUGUAAACUUGAGAGCCCGUGGCCCGUGGAAUUAGUGGGAUGUGCAAAAAAAAAAAAAUGAAUAAAAAAAAUAAAAAAAAAUAAAAGAAAAAGAAGAAGAAGAAGAAGAAGAAGAAAAAAAUAAAAGGAAAAAGAAGUACCAAAUCCAGACCCUUCCCAACAUCCCUCAUCACUACUAAAAGUUGCAGGAUUGUUAAAUUUUCAUAUCCUAAUUUCUGAUUAUAGGCAAAGAAAUUAACCCCCCACUAAUGUCAGAUUAUAGAAAGUGAGAAACCAAUUAUUAUAAGACCUAAAGGAAGAGGAUGUAUCUGAUCAGAAUAACUAGCAAUCCUGUAGAUCAGUUCUCUAUGCAGAACAAGAGAAACGAUAAAUAUGAUGUAAAAGGUAAGAAGAAGAUUAACAUUGUAUCAUCGCCAACCAAAAAUAUCCAUCCUAGAAUUAACAUUGUAUCAUCGCCAACCAAAAAUCUCCAUCCUAGAAUAGAAAAAAAUGUAGUAUACAAACAUAAUUCCAGCAAAACCUCAGGAAUCAAACAUCCAGCAUUUUAAAAUCGUUACAACUAUAGAAUUACCAAUACCAAAUCCAGAUCCUUCCCGUCAUAUCCUUCUUGAUCACUAAAAUUGCAGGAUUGUCAAAUUUUCAUAUCUUAAUUCCGAAAUACAGUCAAAGAAAUUAUAGAGAAAGUGAAAAUCAAAACCACAUAUUAUAAGAUCAAAUGAAAGAAGACGUAACUCUACCUGAUCAGAAUCACUAGCAAUCCUGUAGAUCAGUUCUCUAUGUAGAACAAGGAAAACCAUAAACACGCCGUAAAAGGGAAGAAGAAAAUUAACGUUGAAUCAUCACCAAACAAAAAUCUCCAUCCUAGAAUAGAAAAAAAUGUGUAUAAAGAGUAGACGUAAUUGUAGGAAAACCUCAAGAAUCGGCAAUAAGAUUUCGCUUCUCUUCCUCCUGAUGAAUAAGCCCCUGAUCAGAAUCUAAAUACCAGCAAUUAAAAAUUCACCAACAUAAGAUUCAUCAACUAAUCCCAAAACCAAUUAAACAGAAUCACACCAAUCAAUCCACCAAAGGAGAUCAAUAGAAAUUGAACCACAAGAUAAAACCACCACACGAAUAAAGCGAAAUACGAUAGUGAUCAAAAGAAUGUGGGUGGUAUUUAUAGAGGUGCUGCCGAAGAAUACGUGGCUGUGAUUAAUAGGGGCAACUUGAUCCAACGGUAAAUAUGAUCCUUAUCCUUUAGAGCUUAGGGAACAUAUUUAAUUAUAUUUUUCCAUUGGAUUCGGUCAGUUAUGGGCGGUUGCAUUUGGUGGCCACACACGUACACGUCAAUAACUGUGGGCUAUUACUAUCCACACGUUUUAUAUUCCCGCUUUUAAUUUUAAAGAAUACGAGCUUGUUUGGUACAACUUAAAAGUUAAUUAAAAUUAAUUUUUUGAUUAUUAUUUCAUUAUUUCAGUCAUUAUUUUUAAAUUCUUCCCUCACACAGAAAGGACCCACUUUAUCUCUAAUGGUCAAAAAAUCUUAUAAAAAUCCGUAUUAAACAAGUACUAUAUUCGUUAUUCCUUUUAGUGCUAAAUAAAAACGUAUUAGCAAUCUAAACCCGUCUGGUGGUGAUUAUAAUCAAGAUUUUAAUAGAUUUUAAUAAAAUUUGAUGAAUUGUAUAAUUUGUAAAAUCUCUAAAAUAUAUGGUUAAAACUAAUUUUUGACUUUAACUUAAAUCAAAAUUUUAAUUUUAAUUCAAACCAAACAUGGUUUAACACUGGUUUUAUUUAUUUCAAAAUAAUUAUUUUUAGUAAUUUUGAUUCCAUGCUUCUUGCAAACCAAGUCAGUAGACCUGUCUAUGGAUUCGAUUCCUACCUCUCACAUUCAACUACGGCUUAGUUAAAAAACUUAACUAAUAAAAAAUUAAUUAUUUACAUAUUUAUUCAAGGUUAAUUUUAUUCACGAUCACUAUACUUUGAUCCAAUUUUUAUUGACCAGACCAAUAUGUGUUAAUUGGGUGACUAUAUUUUAAUGGGUAAUUAUUCACACCAUAACUUUUAUUUUAUUUUACCACAUUUUAAUUAUAAUUAAGGUUUUUAAUUUUUGCUCAUUAUAACACUUAUAUCCCUAAUAAUUUUUCAUGUCAUUCUUAUCAUCAAACUUUCAUUAAUUUAACACAUUUUACAUUUGAUAACCAGCAGCAAAGCUAGAAUAUUUUAUUUCGGUGGGCAAAAAUUAUAUAGCAAAAAUAAUUAUAAAUAAUAUAAUUCUUCUCCUAAUUAGGCCUUAGGGUGACUUCGUUUGGGUCGAUUUCGACUCCAACCUAAAAUCAAAGCCAAAUUAGUCAGUUUGAGUGAAUUUCAAUCCAAUCAAUCCACUCCUAACUCUUAAACCGAAUCAAAAAUCGAUUUGGUUUGAUUUGGUUUGGUUCGGUUAGGUUAGGACUUUUUGUUCAAAUUGAUUUUUUUAAAAAAAAUUAUUCGAGUUUUGGGCUUACUUAGAUUACAAGAACUAAAAUAAUCAAAUAAUUUCAUAUUAUCAAAAAUAUUGACUAACAAAUAAUAUCAGGUUAAUAGAGACUGAUCAACAGAAAACUUAAAAAAACUUUUUUCUAUUAUUUAGUUUGAUUGUCUGAGUAAGGAAAAAUAUUAAGCUCCCGUUUGAUCCCCAUUAAAUUAAAUUACAUUACAUUACAUUUUUCUUUCUCCUAUUUUCAAUUACAAAUCUUCUAUAAAAUAAUAUUACACGUAAAUCGAAAAUUUUUCCUCUUUUUUCAAUCACUCAUUUUUUUCAAAAAUACUAUUCCCCCAAUUUCAGUUUUAGGUAAUGGGGUCAAACGGGGGCUAAGUAUAACAUAAUGAGCCUGUGAAAGGAAAUACUCAGUGUUAUUACUUAUCGGCAAUAUCAUAGAUUGGAGGAAAUCGAGAUAUAGUUAUGAAAUUAUGAGCUUAUCUGUUGAUUUUUAUUUUCUUAAAAUGAAAAAGGUAAACAUGUAAUUGGGUUGGGUUGGUUUAGUUAACCAACGGUUUGAGACUUCAAACCAUGACUGAAUUAACUUACCAUGGUGUUGUUUAAGAGAAUACAAAAAAAAAAAAAAAAACAAAAAAACAAAAAACCAAUUACUUGUGUCAAACCGACCCGAGCCAACACAAGUCAGUUUAAUUUAAUUGGUUUUUCGAUUUUUUUGCCCAAGCUUAUUCCUAAUCUACAGGUCCACCUGUUAACCAAACUAUAGAUUGCACUUGCAAGGAGAGACGUGGCUACUGACUUAUAAGGUUGCCUAAAUGUUUUGGGUUAAAUGUUAGCAAACAAUUUAAAAUUUCUUUUCGGGUGGAAGAAGAGGAAAAAAUAGUAUUUCGUUCGGCGAACAGGGGCUCCAUCAAAUAUGAUGGUAAAUUUAAGGAAAUACAUAAAACAUUGCCAUAUAAUCUGCUACCUUAUUUGAAAAUAAUUCCUUGAAACACACAUACAUAUACACACUCAGCAACAUCAACAAGAACAACAGAGUUGAGAUUGUACUUUCUAGCUAAAAAUGGUGAAAUGAUAUAUUCUCAUCACACCAAAUUAUAAUCUUACGCUGGUAAUGCCGUGUUAAUCAAUAAGUAAUAGAACUACAAAAACAAUUUCGCAUUCUUCUUUGAGAGAUUUUUCGACGUUUUGAGUUGGAAUUCAAUGCUAGUCUAUUAUCAUAUUAUGAGUCAACGUUUGUAUUUUACCUUUCUUUAUCUUCUCUAGAGAAAACCUUCCUUUUUAUCUUCUUUAAUCACUGAAUCACAAGCACAAAAAUUAUAAAAAUAUUACAGAAAUGGAUACAAAUAAAUAAGAUAAAGAGCUUAAUGGACUGAUUUGUUGAACUCACCUUCCUUUCGAUUGGAAUCACAUUUACAAGACAUUUGAGAAAGAGAGAAGAAGAUUACAUGGGUAGAGUCUAAGCUAUUUAAAAUUGGAAUGAGGAGAAUUCUACGUCCAUCUCAUAGUGAUUCUUUUACUUUUUUAUUUUUUCAAAUUUAAAAAAACAGAAAUUUUGGAUGUGCCACUGACCACUCUUGCCAUAUGUGCCUUUGCCCCAUGUUGAUAAUAGUUUAUGUCCAAAAAUCCGUUAAAAUAACAUAAAUAAAUAAAUUAAAACUGCGAAAAAAGUAUUUUUUCCUCACUUCAAAGCACAAAAACCACAAAAAAGAAUAUUUGUUUAUAUAAAUCAUCAUCAAGGACAAGAUGUUGAAGAUUGAAGAUAAGAAUUUAAUGAAAUUUUUUUUAAAAAUAAUUGCUACAAUGACAAAAAUUGAGGAGUUUAACUGCAAUUAAAAUGUGGUGUAUCAAAUUGUUGUAGCAAUAAUUUUAUAUCGAUUUAAACAUAAUGCUUUAAUAUACAUACACACCAAAAUGGGCCCAGGUGGUGAGAAUAGUAGAUUUGAAAGAUAUCCAAACACUUAAUCUGGAAUUGAAGAAUAAUAUUUAUUGAAGAUGAAAGUUUUUUGAUACAAUAACUUAAUAAAAGAACAUUUAACCCUUGUUUGAGCGCCAUUCUUGCAAAAUAAUAAUAAUAAUAAUAAUAAUAAUAAUAAUAAAUAAAUAAAUAAAUACAUUUUUGAAUAGUGUACUAAAAGAAAAUUUGUAAUUAAAAAAUAAGGAAAAUUUUUAGAUUUGUGUGUAAUAUUAUUUUAUUGAAAAAUAUGUGGUUGAGUGGGGUCAAAUCAUUGUUGAAAAAUGUAUUUUUAUGAAAAAUGGGGUUCAAACAAGGACUUAGAUUACAAGAAAAUCUAUGCUUUUUUGAAGAGGUUUUUAUUGCGCUAAAAAACUCUUGGCAAAAUCUUGAAUCUUGAUCUCUAUUUAUAUUUAAAUUCAAGGUUCAUAUUUGAAAUCUUCUAAGCUGUAUUGAAAGAAUCUUGAACGGUAUUGAUAAUGUUUUGUCGACUAUAUGUCAUUUGUCAACAUCUUCUUUUUUAAAUAAUGGUAUUACUUUUGUAAAGUAACUUUAAUAAAAUUGAUUAAAAUGAAAUCUCCUAGGGUUGGCAAUGGGUCAAGUCGAGUUGGCUCGGCCCUUAAUACCACGAGCUCGACUCGUGCUCGUGGCGACAAUGAGCCGAGCUUGGCCCACGAGCUUGUGGCUCGUCCGAGCUCGUGGGUCAAGCCGAGCUUCGGCUCGUGGGCUCGCCUACUUUUUUUUUAAUAUAUAAAAUAAAGAAUAGAGUUUUAAAAAUAAAAAGUGUUAAAAAAUACAAAUAAUUUAACGAAAAUAAAUUUUUAUUUUUUUUAUUUAUAUCAUAUUGUAAUUUAUAAUAUUUUUUAUAAGGUAUAAAAUAUUUAUAUAAUGAAAACGAAUUAUUUUUUGAAAUACAUUUACAAAAAAUAUAUUUUUUGAUUUCUUUUUAAAGUUAAUAAAGAAUAGAGUUUUAAAAAUAAGAAGUGUUUAAAAAUACAAAUAAUUUAACGAGAACAAGUUUUUAUUUUUUUUAUUUACAUCAUAUUGUAAUUUGUAAUACUUUUUAUAAAGUAUAAAAUAUUUACAAAUUUAGAAUUACCAAAUCUAACCCGAGGGGUAGCUCAGUUCUUCAAUGGUCACCAAUUCGAGUCCGGGUCAUUGAGGUGAGUACCGGCUGUAAACUUGAAAGCCCGUGGCCCGUGGAAUUAGUGGGAUGUGCCAAAAAAAAAAAAGAAGAAGAAGAAAAAUAAAGAAAAAGAAAAAAGAAAAAAGAAAAAAAAGAAAAGGAAAAAGAAUUACCAAAUCCAGACCCUUCCCAACAUCCCUCUUCAUCACUAAAAGUUGCAGGAUUGUUAAAUUUUCAUAUCCUAAUUUCUAAUUAUAGGCAAAGAAAUUAACCCCCCACUAAUGUCAGAUUAUAGAGAGUGAGAAACCAAUUAUUAUAAGACCUAAAGGAAGAGGAUGUAUCUGAUCAGAAUAACUAGCAAUCCUGUAGAUCAGUUCUCUAUGCAGAACAAGAGAAACGAUAAAUAUGAUGUAAAAGGUAAGAAGAAGAUUAACAUUGUAUCAUCGCCAACCAAAAAUCUCCAUCCUAGAAUAG